Long non-coding RNA from Venturia canescens, 1213 nucleotides. RefSeq lists it as uncharacterized. The transcript is spliced from 2 exons. The record is from RefSeq and is a predicted model, not a curated record. Lineage: Eukaryota; Metazoa; Arthropoda; Insecta; Hymenoptera; Ichneumonidae.
UAUCGUAGUGUUACUUUAAUAGCACCUCGGCUCAACGAACUUGCUCUCGAUUACAACAUGUGUUCACGAAGAUGGAUUUUUUCUUCACUCUUUGGAGAAAUAUUGUCUUAUAACAGUGAAUACGCAUCGUAGUUUUUGCCACGAAAGAGAAACGUAGAAGGAAAAAAGUGAGGUUAGAAAAACAAAAAUGGCUCUUGUGACUGGAAUAACUUCUGCCAACUGUCGCACCAUGACAAACGCGGAUGCCAACGUAAUAAUGAAAAAAAAUUAUAAGCGAGUUGAUCGUUACCAAUCGUUACACCGAGCGAGUGAAAGGGAGAGGGAAGGAUGAGGCAAACGACGAGUGUAUAAUAACGAUUAUUAUCCCGUCUGCUUACACUCGAGUCAACGAAAACCGUAGUUUAGUCUAACUGUUGGUUCUGCAUAUAACGUUCUCGGUACAGUACGUGGUACAACUAUUUGAGUAAAUAACGAAGAGAAUAUAAGAGCUCAAGGGAGGAGUUGGAGAAGCUAUGAAAAUAUACAGGAUGUCUCGAAAGUCCUUUGAAAGGGCUUGAUUUAAUCAACCGAUCGCAGAAUUAAAAAAGAAGCGUUGAAAAGGUUUCUCCGCAAAGUUUGCGAAUUCGAAUAAAUUCGGUUAGCAACAUCGAGGUUUUUGGAACGAGCUGUAUUACGCUCUUCUCUGUAACGUAACGUAACUCUCGGUAUCGCGAGUCGUUCGGAAACGUGACACAGGCGUGUCACUCCGACGCGACGAGUAGCCUCCCUGGCGAAAAAGUCGCGAACCAGCCCACGCUUGCAUGUCGAAUUCUCGUCGUUACGACUUUUUAUCGCUAAGGUCACGAAAUAUCCGUAUACGAAAAUACAAUACGCUGUAACGAAAAUCGAGGGGGAGGAAGAACGAGGAAAAGACGGAGACGAGAAGGAGAAAGAGAGAAAGAGCAAGGAGAGAGGGUAAACGUGAAAAGGUAGAUAUAUAAUGGCUCGCAUACCAAAGUCGUCCGCUCGCUUACCCCCUUGAAUACAAAUUCUGAUGCUGUCGCCAUGCCCGGAACCACGCUUAUUUUUCUUCGUCAUUACAUACACGGGCAUGAAUUUUUAUAAAUAAUUUGUAUCAAUUUUAUUGAGAUCUCAAUCGACGAAUUCGUGUUAUCCAUUGACAAUUGUAACGAUAUUAAAAAAUUGAAUAAAAAAUAAUGACAAUAAUACUCAA